This is a small nucleolar RNA of Ornithorhynchus anatinus (platypus), 140 nucleotides long. The record is from RefSeq and is a predicted model, not a curated record. Lineage: Eukaryota; Metazoa; Chordata; Mammalia; Monotremata; Ornithorhynchidae.
UCCCUCUCAGGAUUGCACCUGGAGAGUUUCCAAUACUCUACCAGUUUCAGCUAUGGGAGGGAGUCCAUCAAGCAGAGACCUUCCCAUUCCAUUCCUAGCUUGGCCAGUGGCUAGCGAGUGGAAGGCAAUCUACUACAAGU